GAUGAACGCUGACAGAAUGCUUAACACAUGCAAGUCUUUGGCGAAGCUGUGCUUGCACCGCCUAGCCAAGGCGGACGGGUGAGUAACGCGUAAGGAACUUGCCCUGCAGUCAGGGAUAACAGACGGAAACGACUGAUAAGACCUGGUAAAGUCAGGCGGACCCAUGUCCAGCCUGAUGAAAAGAGAUGCUGCAGGAGAGCCUUGCGUCCUAUUAGCUUGUUGGUGGGGUAACGGCCCACCAAGGCGAUGAUAGGUAGCCGGCCUGAGAGGGUGGACGGCCACAAGGGGACUGAGAUACGGCCCUUACUCCUACGGGAGGCAGCAGUGGGGAAUAUUGGACAAUGGGGGCAACCCUGAUCCAGCAAUUCUGUGUGCACGAUGAAGGUUUUCGGAUUGUAAAGUGCUUUCAGCAGGGAAGAAAAAAAUGACGGUACCUGCAGAAGAAGCGACGGCUAAAUACGUG
Molecule: ribosomal RNA, 463 nt
Filed under: uncultured bacterium
Lineage: Bacteria
Description: partial 16S ribosomal RNA
Rfam family: Bacterial small subunit ribosomal RNA
Source: RNAcentral